Long non-coding RNA from Salmo salar (Atlantic salmon), 2233 nucleotides. RefSeq lists it as uncharacterized. Lineage: Eukaryota; Metazoa; Chordata; Actinopteri; Salmoniformes; Salmonidae. The record is from RefSeq and is a predicted model, not a curated record.
CCACAACUGAAAGGGGGAAAAAUGACCCAAAUGAUAGCGUUGCAAGUUUGAUUGACUCUCACACAGGGAUGAAAGUAAAGGGUUGCAGAGUGUUAAGGAAGUGAGCAUCAGCGGUUUGGGUUGUUAAUGUUUUAUAUUUGUAAACGUUUAUUUAUUUGCCUCCUCCAUGGCCGUGCGUUUAUUUUUACUAUCGUAAUAACCACUAUGAGGGGAGCAUGUAUAACGGCGCAUGCCCCAUGCACCUACAAGAGCGAAAGAGAUGUGUAUAUUGAGGUGCUUCUCGCACGUGCCAGGUGGAGUCAGUUAUCAACUGUAUGGAUAAUUAAAUCAUCAAUCAAGAGGCUCGACUGUUUGAUGCCUUUGUCCAAAGCCAAUCAGAUUCCAGAGAACUCGGAAGCACAGCUCGAGAGGAAAAGCUGUUAUUGGUCGCAGCCUGGUGAUAGUGCGUUACAGACUUGAAGAAGGGGAUCCCGCUUUACUGCAGCUGUCCCAUGGAAACACAGCUAUCUUUGGAUUCCAACUCCCCGCAGGACUGCUGUUCUGUGCUGGGAAAGGAGCAGCUAUCAUGAUGGAAUUGCUCCCAGAAAUGUUACAUCUGUGCUAAAACUUAGGACAAGGAGGAGGAGGAGGAGGAGGAGGAGAAUUCACAGGUGGUGGUGGGGAAAGAAUCUAACGGAAUGGAAUCCCCAAACUAAAUAAGAGAGGGAGGAUGAGAGGAGGAGGAGGAGGAGAACAGGACUGUGUCAUUUCCUGUACAUGAGAACAUACCCCAAAGCUGCUCUACAUUUCACUGUUUUAAUGUCGCCCCUAAAUAAUUUCACAAACCACAAGUAUGGUAUAUGAUACAUUACGGUAAGUAAGAUUUAUGCUGAAGACAAUUCAAUGUCUUACAUAAAGUAUGACUACUUUUAUGACUACAUAUAUCCUAUAUACCGCUGACAGCUUCUAACAACGAUGGUGAGUAUACAGUAUGUCUGAGGCCCUAAACAUACAGUUGAAAGCCUUCUAAAGAUGUUUGGUAUACAAUACAAUGUAUAAGGGCCUACAUGAUAAUGGUGUGACACAAAGCAUCUGCUUCACCAGAUCACAUCUAUCCCUCUAGUUUGUUUUCAACUCUCCCUCUCUCUCCCUUCACUACAAUCACCACAACAACAUCGACUAGGUCUCUCUAUGGGACCCGUUCUGUGAUAUUUUGAUCCCACUGCCGUAGAUAGCCGUAGAUAUGAUGCCAUUUAAUACUCCACCGUUGCUCGCAGUGUAACAGAGUGAAGAACGUGAGAGAUUGACGGACAAUUAGAGAACAUAGGCGACCGUGUGUGUGUGUGAUCUUCGAGGAGAAGCCUCAAACGCGGAAAAUGAAUUUAGUUUACAUUCGCUACAGGCCUUACAGGCAAAUGAGCACUUCUCCUUUGCUUGUGCUUUUCUCAAAAACACUUCAGAUGUUUCUCAGUGUAUAUAAAAGAAAGUGAGACAGAGAGAGAGAGGAGAGAGAGAGAUUGCAAAGUAACAGAACAGAUUGCUUAGAAGCAAAAAGCUUACAUCAGAAACAUAUAGAUUUUUCUUCUGUUGGUUGCUCUUGUUAAAAUCAACCGAGUAAGUGCAUGGUGACUCUAUCUGAGACUGCAAAUUACAACUUGUUCAUUUGAGCUGCUCAAAUAAGAGACAGAUCAGAUGUUCUGCUUUACUUUGAAUCUUUCCUGUGGAAAGAGGUCAAGUCCCCAGUGGCCAGAAAAGUAACAGAUUGGUGGAGGGAGGCUAUGAGGGACUCAGAAAACCAGCAUUUCUGGUUUAAUAUUUUGAUAUUCCCUCUUUGUGAAGUAUUUAUACCCAGAAGAGAUAAAGACAUAAAACACAAUAAGUUCAUAUUUGACAUGAACACAAGUUAGUCCUCUUUCACCCAAAGUGGGUUUUAAAAAAAAAGGUAAUCUGCUCAGGAAACAGGAAAACGUAUUUCACUCUUGACUCGAAAGAUGACUUAUCGCUCCCUGGAAUGAAUACAUGAGGGUGGCUAUGAUGCAUUAUUAAUCAAACAUUUGAAUAAUUGUUGUAUCUCUAAUCUCUUCCCUGCAUUUGCAUAUCAGCCUUUUAAUGUCUGCCUCCAUAUAUGAUGCUAGCUACUUCCUCUUAGGACAUAGAAAUAUAAUUAAUAUAACUAACUUAUUUCCUCAAACCAAACCAUGUCUUCUCUCUCUCUCUCUCUCUCUCUCUCUCUCUCUCUCUCUCUCUCUCUCUC